Molecule: ribosomal RNA, 1343 nt
Filed under: uncultured bacterium
Lineage: Bacteria
Description: 16S ribosomal RNA
Rfam family: Bacterial small subunit ribosomal RNA
Source: RNAcentral
GACGAACGCUGGCGGCGUGCUUAACACAUGCAAGUCGAACGGAAAGGCCCUGCUUUUGUGGGGUGCUCGAGUGGCGAACGGGUGAGUAACACGUGAGUAACCUGCCCUUGACUUUGGGAUAACUUCAGGAAACUGGGGCUAAUACCGGAUAGGAGCUCCUGCUGCAUGGUGGGGGUUGGAAAGUUUCGGCGGUUGGGGAUGGACUCGCGGCUUAUCAGCUUGUUGGUGGGGUAGUGGCUUACCAAGGCUUUGACGGGUAGCCGGCCUGAGAGGGUGACCGGCCACAUUGGGACUGAGAUACGGCCCAGACUCCUACGGGAGGCAGCAGUGGGGAAUAUUGCAUAAUGGGCGGAAGCCUGAUGCAGCAACGCCGCGUGCGGGAUGACGGCCUUCGGGUUGUAAACCGCUUUCGCCUGUGACGAAGCGUGAGUGACGGUAAUGGGUAAAGAAGCACCGGCUAACUACGUGCCAGCAGCCGCGGUGAUACGUAGGGUGCGAGCGUUGUCCGGAUUUAUUGGGCGUAAAGGGCUCGUAGGUGGUUGAUCGCGUCGGAAGUGUAAUCUUGGGGCUUAACCCUGAGCGUGCUUUCGAUACGGGUUGACUUGAGGAAGGUAGGGGAGAAUGGAAUUCCUGGUGGAGCGGUGGAAUGCGCAGAUAUCAGGAGGAACACCAGUGGCGAAGGCGGUUCUCUGGGCCUUUCCUGACGCUGAGGAGCGAAAGCGUGGGGAGCGAACAGGCUUAGAUACCCUGGUAGUCCACGCUGUAAACGGUGGGUACUAGGUGUGGGGUCCAUUCCACGGGUUCCGUGCCGUAGCUAACGCUUUAAGUACCCCGCCUGGGGAGUACGGCCGCAAGGCUAAAACUCAAAGGAAUUGACGGGGCCCCGCACAAGCGGCGGAGCAUGCGGAUUAAUUCGAUGCAACGCGUAGAACCUUACCUGGGUUUGACAUGGAUCGGGAGCGCUCAGAGAUGGGUGUGCCUCUUUUGGGGUCGGUUCACAGGUGGUGCAUGGCUGUCGUCAGCUCGUGUCGUGAGAUGUUGGGUUAAGUCCCGCAACGAGCGCAACCCUUGUUCACUGUUGCCAGCACGUUAUGGUGGGGACUCAGUGGAGACCGCCGGGGUCAACUCGGAGGAAGGUGGGGAUGACGUCAAGUCAUCAUGCCCCUUAUGUCCAGGGCUUCACGCAUGCUACAAUGGCUGGUACAGAGAGUGGCGAGCCUGUGAGGGUGAGCGAAUCUCGGAAAGCCGGUCUCAGUUCGGAUUGGGGUCUGCAACUCGACCUCAUGAAGUCGGAGUCGCUAGUAAUCGCAGAUCAGCAACGCUGCGGUGAAUACGUUCCCGGG